GCUGGCGUAGCUCAACGGUAGAGCAACUGAUUUGUAAUUAGUAGGUUGGGGGUUCGAUUCCCUUCGCCAGCU
RNAcentral lists this transfer RNA (72 nucleotides) under Acidobacteriota bacterium. RNAcentral describes it as "Acidobacteria bacterium tRNA-Thr". It matches the Rfam family "tRNA". Rfam says of the family: Transfer RNA (tRNA) molecules are approximately 80 nucleotides in length. Their secondary structure includes four short double-helical elements and three loops (D, anti-codon, and T loops). Further hydrogen bonds mediate the characteristic L-shaped molecular structure. tRNAs have two regions of fundamental functional importance: the anti-codon, which is responsible for specific mRNA codon recognition, and the 3' end, to which the tRNAs corresponding amino acid is attached (by aminoacyl-tRNA synthetases). tRNAs cope with the degeneracy of the genetic code in two manners: having more than one tRNA (with a specific anti-codon) for a particular amino acid; and 'wobble' base-pairing, i.e. permitting non-standard base-pairing at the 3rd anti-codon position. The record is from RNAcentral. RNAcentral also lists the same sequence under 1 other name. Lineage: Bacteria; Pseudomonadati; Acidobacteriota.